RNAcentral lists this non-coding RNA (190 nucleotides) under Candidatus Competibacter denitrificans. RNAcentral describes it as "6S RNA". It matches the Rfam family "6S / SsrS RNA". Rfam says of the family: E. coli 6S RNA was the first non coding RNA to be sequenced, but its function was unknown until recently. It consists of 184 nucleotides that fold into an extended hairpin structure with a large single-stranded internal bulge. The record is from RNAcentral. Lineage: Bacteria; Pseudomonadati; Pseudomonadota; Gammaproteobacteria; Candidatus Competibacteraceae. RNAcentral also lists the same sequence under 2 other names.
CGCUCUCUGGGGUGUACGAGUAAAGGGUCGGGUAACCCCUUGAUCCUAUUUAAUUCUACCCAGGGUGAUAGUCGUCGGCGUUGUGUGCAUGUCCGCCUUGUAGCGGGAAGCCUGAUUCGCCGCUCUGUUCCCCGCUUUGAGCCCGCGCGGUUCAAGGGCAAUGGCCCAAAACGGCAUCAGCGGAGAGCGC